GAUGAACGCUGGCGGCGUGCUUAACACAUGCAAGUCGAACGGGAUCCAUCAGGCUUUGCUUGGUGGUGAGAGUGGCGAACGGGUGAGUAAUGCGUGACCGACCUGCCCCAUACACCGGAAUAGCUCCUGGAAACGGGUGGUAAUGCCGGAUGCUCCGACUCCUCGCAUGGGGUGUCGGGAAAGAUUUCAUCGGUAUGGGAUGGGGUCGCGUCCUAUCAGGUAGUCGGCGGGGUAACGGCCCACCGAGCCUACGACGGGUAGCCGGCCUGAGAGGGCGACCGGCCACAUUGGGACUGAGAUACGGCCCAGACUCCUACGGGAGGCAGCAGUGGGGAAUAUUGCACAAUGGGCGCAAGCCUGAUGCAGCGACGCCGCGUGCGGGAUGACGGCCUUCGGGUUGUAAACCGCUUUUGAUCGGGAGCAAGCCUUCGGGUGAGUGUACCUUUCGAAUAAGCACCGGCUAACUACGUGCCAGCAGCCGCGGUAAUACGUAGGGUGCAAGCGUUAUCCGGAAUUAUUGGGCGUAAAGGGCUCGUAGGCGGUUCGUCGCGUCCGGUGUGAAAGUCCAUCGCUUAACGGUGGAUCUGCGCCGGGUACGGGCGGGCUGGAGUGCGGUAGGGGAGACUGGAAUUCCCGGUGUAACGGUGGAAUGUGUAGAUAUCGGGAAGAACACCAAUGGCGAAGGCAGGUCUCUGGGCCGUUACUGACGCUGAGGAGCGAAAGCGUGGGGAGCGAACAGGAUUAGAUACCCUGGUAGUCCACGCCGUAAACGGUGGAUGCUGGAUGUGGGGCCCGUUCCACGGGUUCCGUGUCGGAGCUAACGCGUUAAGCAUCCCGCCUGGGGAGUACGGCCGCAAGGCUAAAACUCAAAGAAAUAGACGGGGGCCCGCACAAGCGGCGGAGCAUGCGGAUUAAUUCGAUGCAACGCGAAGAACCUUACCUGGGCUUGACAUGUUCCCGACAGCCGUAGAGAUAUGGCCUCCCUUCGGGGCGGGUUCACAGGUGGUGCAUGGUCGUCGUCAGCUCGUGUCGUGAGAUGUUGGGUUAAGUCCCGCAACGAGCGCAACCCUCGCCCUGUGUUGCCAGCACGUCAUGGUGGGAACUCACGGGGGACCGCCGGGGUCAACUCGGAGGAAGGUGGGGAUGACGUCAGAUCAUCAUGCCCCUUACGUCCAGGGCUUCACGCAUGCUACAAUGGCCGGUACAACGGGAUGCGACACGGCGACGUGGAGCGGAUCCCUGAAAACCGGUCUCAGUUCGGAUUGGAGUCUGCAACCCGACUCCAUGAAGGCGGAGUCGCUAGUAAUCGCGGAUCAGCAACGCCGCGGUGA
This 1331-nucleotide ribosomal RNA is filed under the name uncultured bacterium. RNAcentral's name for it is "bacterial SSU rRNA". It matches the Rfam family "Bacterial small subunit ribosomal RNA", at positions 28 to 1365 of the family's 1533-position model. The record is from RNAcentral.